RNAcentral lists this ribosomal RNA (110 nucleotides) under uncultured eukaryote. RNAcentral describes it as "partial small subunit ribosomal RNA". It matches the Rfam family "Eukaryotic small subunit ribosomal RNA", at positions 1675 to 1785 of the family's 1831-position model. The record is from RNAcentral.
GUCGCUACUACCGAUUGAAUGGCUUAGUGAGGCCUUGGGAUUAGCGUCCUAUCCGGCAACGGAACUGGAUGUUGAGAACCUGGUCAAACUUGGUCAUUUAGAGGAAGUAA